UGCAGUCGAGGGGUAUGCUUCUUCGGAANCAGAGACCGGCGCACGGGUGCGUAACGCGUAUGCAAUCUACCUUUCACAGAGGGAUAGCCCAGAGAAAUUUGGAUUAAUACCUCAUAGUAUAGCAGUUUCGCAUGAAACCACUAUUAAAGUCACAACGGUGAAAGAUGAGCAUGCGUCCCAUUAGCUAGUUGGUAAGGUAACGGCUUACCAAGGCAACGAUGGGUAGGGGUCCUGAGAGGGAGAUCCCCCACACUGGUACUGAGACACGGACCAGACUCCUACGGGAGGCAGCAGUGAGGAAUAUUGGACAAUGGGCGCAAGCCUGAUCCAGCCAUGCCGCGUGCAGGAUGACGGUCCUAUGGAUUGUAAACUGCUUUUAUACGAGAAGAAACACUCCGACGUGUCGGAGCUUGACGGUAUCGUAAGAAUAAGGAUCGGCUAACUCCGUGCCAGCAGCCGCGGUAAUACGGAGGAUCCAAGCGUUAUCCGGAAUCAUUGGGUUUAAAGGGUCCGUAGGCGGUCAGGUAAGUCAGUGGUGAAAGCCCAUCGCUCAACGGUGGAACGGCCAUUGAUACUGUCUGACUUGAAUUAUUAGGAAGUAACUAGAAUAUGUAGUGUAGCGGUGAAAUGCUUAGAGAUUACAUGGAAUACCAAUUGCGAAGGCAGGUUACUACUAAUGGAUUGACGCUGAUGGACGAAAGCGUGGGUAGCGAACAGGAUUAGAUACCCUGGUAGUCCACGCCGUAAACGAUGGAUACUAGCUGUUGGGAGCAAUCUCAGUGGCUAAGCGAAAGUGAUAAGUAUCCCACCUGGGGAGUACGUUCGCAAGAAUGAAACUCAAAGGAAUUGACGGGGGCCCGCACAAGCGGUGGAGCAUGUGGUUUAAUUCGAUGAUACGCGAGGAACCUUACCAAGGCUUAAAUGUAGAUUGACCGGUUUGGAAACAGACUUUUCGCAAGACAAUUUACAAGGUGCUGCAUGGUUGUCGUCAGCUCGUGCCGUGAGGUGUCAGGUUAAGUCCUAUAACGAGCGCAACCCCUGUUGUUAGUUGCCAGCGAGUCAAGUCGGGAACUCUAACAAGACUGCCAGUGCAAACUGUGAGGAAGGUGGGGAUGACRUCAAAUCAUCACGGCCCUUACGCCUUGGGCUAC
Molecule: ribosomal RNA, 1151 nt
Filed under: Flavobacterium sp.
Lineage: Bacteria; Pseudomonadati; Bacteroidota; Flavobacteriia; Flavobacteriales; Flavobacteriaceae
Description: bacterial SSU rRNA
Rfam family: Bacterial small subunit ribosomal RNA
Source: RNAcentral